This 407-nucleotide ribosomal RNA is filed under the name uncultured prokaryote. RNAcentral describes it as "bacterial SSU rRNA". It matches the Rfam family "Bacterial small subunit ribosomal RNA", at positions 355 to 776 of the family's 1533-position model. RNAcentral also lists the same sequence under 1 other name. The record is from RNAcentral.
UGGGGAAUAUUGGGCAAUGGGCGAAAGCCUGACCCAGCAACGCCGCGUGAGGGAAGAAGGUUUUCGGAUUGUAAACCUCUGUCCUUGGUGAAGAAAGAGAUGACGGUAGCCAAGGAGGAAGCCCCGGCUAACUACGUGCCAGCAGCCGCGGUAAUACGUAGGGGGCGAGCGUUGUCCGGAAUGACUGGGCGUAAAGGGCGCGUAGACGGCUGUCUAAGUCUGGAGUGAAAGUCCUGCUUUCAAGGUGGGAAUUGCUUUGGAGACUGGAUGGCUUGAGUGCGGAAGAGGUAAGUGGAAUUCCCAGUGUAGCGGUGAAAUGCGUAGAGAUUGGGAGGAACACCAGUGGCGAAGGCGACUUACUGGGCCGUAACUGACGUUGAUGCGCGAAAGCGUGGGGAGCGAACAGG